This 468-nucleotide ribosomal RNA is filed under the name uncultured bacterium. RNAcentral's name for it is "partial 16S ribosomal RNA". It matches the Rfam family "Bacterial small subunit ribosomal RNA", at positions 28 to 507 of the family's 1533-position model. The record is from RNAcentral.
GACGAACGCUGGCGGCGUGCUUAACACAUGCAAGUCGAACGGAAAGGCCCUGCUUUCGUGGGGUGCUCGAGUGGCGAACGGGUGAGUAACACGUGAGUAACCUGCCCUUGACUUUGGGAUAACUUCAGGAAACUGGGGCUAAUACCGGAUAGGAGCUCCUGCUGCAUGGUGGGGGUUGGAAAGUUUCGGCGGUUGGGGAUGGACUCGCGGCUUAUCAGCUUGUUGGUGGGGUAGUGGCUUACCAAGGCUUUGACGGGUAGCCGGCCUGAGAGGGUGACCGGCCACAUUGGGACUGAGAUGCGGCCCAGACUCCUACGGGAGGCAGCAGUGGGGAAUAUUGCACAAUGGGCGGAAGCCUGAUGCAGCAACGCCGCGUGCGGGAUGACGGCCUUCGGGUUGUAAACCGCUUUCGCCUGUGACGAAGCGUGAGUGACGGUAAUGGGUAAAGAAGCACCGGCUAACUACGUG